GAAUCUACCUAGUAGUGGGGGAUAGCUCGGGGAAACUCGAAUUAAUACCGCAUACGACCUACGGGAGAAAGGGGGCAGUUUACUGCUCUCGCUAUUAGAUGAGCCUAAGUCGGAUUAGCUAGAUGGUGGGGUAAAGGCCUACCAUGGCGACGAUCUGUAGCUGGUCUGAGAGGAUGAUCAGCCACACCGGGACUGAGACACGGCCCGGACUCCUACGGGAGGCAGCAGUGGGGAAUAUUGGACAAUGGGGGAAACCCUGAUCCAGCCAUGCCGCGUGUGUGAAGAAGGCCUUUUGGUUGUAAAGCACUUUAAGCAGUGAAGAAGACUCCACGGUUAAUACCCGUGGACGAUGACAUUAGCUGCAGAAUAAGCACCGGCUAACUCUGUGCCAGCAGCCGCG
This 400-nucleotide ribosomal RNA is filed under the name Psychrobacter sp. 67Va. Its description in RNAcentral is "bacterial SSU rRNA". It matches the Rfam family "Bacterial small subunit ribosomal RNA", at positions 122 to 519 of the family's 1533-position model. Lineage: Bacteria; Pseudomonadati; Pseudomonadota; Gammaproteobacteria; Moraxellales; Moraxellaceae. The record is from RNAcentral.